CCUACUGGUGAUGUGGACCUGACCCUCCGCCAUGUAGCAGACAACCCCCCUCAGGUCCUGCGAUGUAUCUUCCCAAGUGGCGUGGAUGUGAAGAGACACGACAUUUCAACUGAUGUUCCAUGGCCGACCUACUGGUGAUGUGGACCUGACCCUCCGCCAUGUAGCAGACAACCCCCCCUCAGGUCUUCCGGUGUAUCCUUCCUAAGUGGCGUGGAUGUGAAGAGACACAGUUCCCCUGAUGUUCCCUGGGCAAUCUACUUACGUACAAUUCAACUGCAUUACAAAUUUUAAUAAAAACCACAGGAAACUUCUAUUUUUUAAAGUUUA
Pseudophryne corroboree (corroboree frog) is the source of this 327-nucleotide long non-coding RNA. RefSeq lists it as uncharacterized. The transcript is spliced from 3 exons. The record is from RefSeq and is a predicted model, not a curated record. Lineage: Eukaryota; Metazoa; Chordata; Amphibia; Anura; Myobatrachidae.